This is an RNA transcript of Salvia splendens (bonfire salvia), 1830 nucleotides long. RefSeq lists it as uncharacterized. Lineage: Eukaryota; Viridiplantae; Streptophyta; Magnoliopsida; Lamiales; Lamiaceae. The transcript has 4 exons. The record is from RefSeq and is a predicted model, not a curated record.
UAACGGUCCAAAUUAUAAUUUGAAGUUUGUACAAUAUUUAGAGUUUGCAUUUGAUCACAUCCCUUUUGAAUACUGAUAGGGCUCGUUACAAGCAUGGUUUUAUAGGGGUUUAUUACACUAACAUGAGUGAUACUGUGCGAAAAAGUGGUGAAUUUGAGUGUGCAGGGGCUAAAAAGUGCUGAAGCGGCAGAAUGCAAGAACAAAUUAAUCAACUCAGAAAAGAAGCGAAAAAUGACCAAAACCGAAGACAAGUUGAUCAGUUGCGGACAAGCAAUGGAACCUGCCUAAUCAGCAAAUUGAUCAAGUGGAGUUCACCACAAGAGAUGAUGAGUCAUAGGAGAGAGAAGAAAAGAUGUCAUCUCAAGGGCAUUAAUGUCAAUACAUAGUUAUCAAUUCCCCACUUUAAAAUUACUAUACAAUAAUCCUCAUUGAACCCCAUCAAAUAAUAUAAUUAGUAGUGCUCAAACAAUUAAAACAAGAAAAAGGGAAAGGAGUAGGCAACAUAUUUUACUCCCUAACUUAGCACAUGUAUAUACUCCCUCAACACACACAUACGUGUACAAAAGGAGGAAGAAAUUAGUAAAAAGUAUACUCCCAACCAUCACUGCAUCUCUCUCUAACUCAAAUCCCUCUAUGUUUUUCCUCUCUCUCCUUCUGCCAUUCUUCCCCAAUUCACCAAAACAUCAAGCUUACUCUCAAAAUUACUUCACGGAAGCACCAAUUUCGUACCCCCGGGACACCAUAUUGUAUGAUGAAGAUGUCAUAAUGGUAACAAAAAGAGAAUUUUGUUCACUAUUGCCACAUACGCUAAUAGAAGUGGGUGUGAUCAAUGCAUGGGCUUCUUAUUUGAAUAACAUGGAAGAAUACAAGGCUCUAUCUUCAUCGAGACGCCUCUUUUUCACAACAUACCCAUCCGUAAGUAUAGUAUAAAUUUUGAAAACUUAAUUGCAUGGUAUAUGUACAUUAUAAAGCAUGUAUACUUCACUAUUAAUCAUAUUCAUUUCACUAUAUGAUAUUUAAACUUCACUAUAAGUAUAUGUUCACUAUAAAGUGAGCUAAACACAGUUCAUUAGUGCUAUAAAACAGGACACAAAGUGAAUUAUUUCUAUCCAGAUUUUACUUGUCUCAUCUUUCAGCUGUAUACAGUUGUUCACCGGCCUGAUGGGGUCGACAUCAUGACCGUAAUUGAUAGAUUUUGUGACAAUUUAGAAAAUGAGGUUGAACAAAUUCCGUAUUUCAAGUAGACCGACGUAGAUUUGGUGUUCUUUCCAAUUUGUGCUACGGAACAUUACUAUACCAUAUGCUUCAGAUUUAGCACUAAAAGUAUAGUGGUGAUUGACAAUUCAAAGAAUGGUGAUGAUGAGGACAUCACAGUCAAAUAUGGUAGCAUACCUAAAACUGUGAGAGUGUAUUUUUGUCAUUAUUUGACAAAAAAAGGUAUCACAUCCAAUGCAAAUCAAUAAAGGAUGUGAACAUAAAAAGACUCAAAAUGACUUGGAGAACAACAUCAAAUGUAGAAGAUUGUGGAGUUUUUUUAUGCGACAUUUGGAAUGUUAUCAUGGUGAGCGGGAACAAGAUUGGAAGUGUGGAUUAACUACAAGAAGCAAGAGAACACUCCAAAGACUAAGAGCAAAGUAUUGCAGCGCAUUAAUAUUGUCGGAAACAAACCAUGAGUCAUUGAAGAACUUGGCAACAGUAUCAAAGCAUUUUGAAGAAUAUGAGAAAAACAUGAACAUAGAUGUGGAAAAAAUGAUUGUAAACUUCAAGCGUUCAUGAACUAUUGUAAAAAACUUCAUUUAAAUUCAAUAGCAAGUUCUUAUUUUACAUUAA